AAAAACUAAUCCAAAUGAUGAAAAUGGUGUGGCAUCUGAAAGUACAAAUGAGGAAAAACAGACGAAGGAAUAGUUUAUUAUUUUAGUGCCUGAGAGCAGAGGUGAAUUGCUCCUCUCAUGAUAGCAUCCCUAACAGUCUAUUGGCUGUUAAAUCUAUCCUAGCUGGUGAAUGCUGUUCAGCUCCUUCAAGUCUUCACACAGGUGGCUGAGGAUAAGUGGAGGUGACUUGAGGUAUGAGGUAGUAGCUUCGCUGCAUCACUUGGUAAGGCAAAGAAAUAAGUAGUUUGGAUGCGUUUUUCGUAUGUCUAGUUCUGAAGUUGCGGUCAUCAUCAAGAAGGAAAGGCUAGUAUCUAAAGAGGAAACCUGGAAAGCAAAUUUCCUUGCCAUACGGCAUCUCGGAAGGCAGCCCAAAAACUAGGAAGAAUAGGAAAAGCUUUGAUAGAGAGAGGGAAGGCUAUGGCAUAGAGAGGAAAUUAAUGAGUGUUUGACAUGACAAAAUUUGUUAUCAAUGAGACUUUUAAUACUACGUAUGAGCUGGCAAACAAG
Molecule: unclassified non-coding RNA, 546 nt
Filed under: Hevea brasiliensis (rubber tree)
Lineage: Eukaryota; Viridiplantae; Streptophyta; Magnoliopsida; Malpighiales; Euphorbiaceae
Source: RNAcentral